This 75-nucleotide transfer RNA is filed under the name Candidatus Woesearchaeota archaeon. RNAcentral's name for it is "tRNA-Asp". It matches the Rfam family "tRNA". From Rfam's summary of the family: Transfer RNA (tRNA) molecules are approximately 80 nucleotides in length. Their secondary structure includes four short double-helical elements and three loops (D, anti-codon, and T loops). Further hydrogen bonds mediate the characteristic L-shaped molecular structure. tRNAs have two regions of fundamental functional importance: the anti-codon, which is responsible for specific mRNA codon recognition, and the 3' end, to which the tRNAs corresponding amino acid is attached (by aminoacyl-tRNA synthetases). tRNAs cope with the degeneracy of the genetic code in two manners: having more than one tRNA (with a specific anti-codon) for a particular amino acid; and 'wobble' base-pairing, i.e. permitting non-standard base-pairing at the 3rd anti-codon position. Lineage: Archaea; Nanobdellati; Candidatus Woesearchaeota. The record is from RNAcentral.
GCCCUGGUAGUGUAGCCAGGUUUAGCAUGAAGCCCUGUCGAGGCUUCGACCCGGGUUCAAAUCCCGGCCAGGGCG